RNAcentral lists this ribosomal RNA (582 nucleotides) under Triticum aestivum (bread wheat). RNAcentral's name for it is "partial small subunit ribosomal RNA". Lineage: Eukaryota; Viridiplantae; Streptophyta; Magnoliopsida; Poales; Poaceae. The record is from RNAcentral.
AUGUGGACCCGUCUUCGUCAGCGCUAUCAGCCCUCUGGUGAUGCCUUAUACCUUUCUGUGGUCCGUCAGGAGCAUGCUCUUCAGCAGGGUGACUCUACUGUUGAUGACUUCUAUGCACAGAGUUCUGCUAUCUGGCGCCAGCUUGAUUCUCUCCGCAGUGCUGGUUGUCGUACCUGCCCCUGUUGCCAGGCUGUCCAGGCCAAUUUGGAGUUUCAUCGCGUCUAUGAGUUCCUGUCUCGGCUCCGUAAGGAGUUUGAGCCCCGGCGUGCUCAGUUGUUUGCUCGUGGCCGUAUUUCUCUCAUGGAGGCGCUUUCUGAGAUUCGUGCUGAGGAGACUCGCUUACGUGGUGCUGGUUUGCCGGAGGUUCCCUCUGUGCUCGCUACUCGUGCUCCUACGCCACCUGCUGCACCGACCCCUUCUCGCUCGAGUGCUCCGCCGCUCUUGCCCACUCCUUCUGGAGGCUCAGGUCGCCCCCGUCCACAUUGCGACUAUUGCAACAAUGAUGCUCAUCUUGAGUCUCAGUGCUACACGAAGAAGAAACACCUGCGCAAGGCGCGAUCAUCAUCUUCAGGGACUUCGUCA